Molecule: transfer RNA, 85 nt
Filed under: Candidatus Dojkabacteria bacterium
Lineage: Bacteria
Description: tRNA-Leu
Rfam family: tRNA
About the family: Transfer RNA (tRNA) molecules are approximately 80 nucleotides in length. Their secondary structure includes four short double-helical elements and three loops (D, anti-codon, and T loops). Further hydrogen bonds mediate the characteristic L-shaped molecular structure. tRNAs have two regions of fundamental functional importance: the anti-codon, which is responsible for specific mRNA codon recognition, and the 3' end, to which the tRNAs corresponding amino acid is attached (by aminoacyl-tRNA synthetases). tRNAs cope with the degeneracy of the genetic code in two manners: having more than one tRNA (with a specific anti-codon) for a particular amino acid; and 'wobble' base-pairing, i.e. permitting non-standard base-pairing at the 3rd anti-codon position.
Source: RNAcentral
GCCGUGGUGGCGGAAUUGGUAUACGCGCUGGACUUAAAAUCCAGUGGCCUUAACAGCCUUAAGGGUUCGAGUCCCUUCCGCGGCA